Molecule: ribosomal RNA, 502 nt
Filed under: uncultured marine bacterium
Lineage: Bacteria
Description: bacterial SSU rRNA
Rfam family: Bacterial small subunit ribosomal RNA
Source: RNAcentral
UCCUACGGGAGGCAGCAGUGGGGAAUAUUGGACAAUGGGGGCAACCCUGAUCCAGCCAUGCCGCGUGAGUGAAGAAGGCCUUCGGGUUGUAAAGCUCUUUCAGAUGCGAAGAUGAUGACGGUAACAUCAGAAGAAGCCCCGGCUAAUUUCGUGCCAGCAGCCGCGGUAAUACGAAAGGGGCAAGCGUUGUUCGGAUUUACUGGGCGUAAAGGGCACGCAGGCGGUCUUGCCAGUCAGGGGUGAAAGCCCGGGGCUCAACCCCGGAACUGCCUCUGAUACUGCAAGACUAGAGACUAGGAGAGGGUGGUGGAAUUCCCAGUGUAGAGGUGAAAUUCGUAGAUAUUGGGAGGAACACCAGAGGCGAAGGCGGCCACCUGGACUAGAUCUGACGCUCAGGUGCGAAAGCGUGGGGAGCAAACAGGAUUAGAUACCCUGGUAGUCCACGCCGUAAACGAUGAGUGCUAGUUGUCGGGACUUCGGUUUCGGUGACGCAGCUAACGCA